Molecule: unclassified non-coding RNA, 347 nt
Filed under: soil metagenome
Description: partial contains 5.8S ribosomal RNA, internal transcribed spacer 2, and large subunit ribosomal RNA
Rfam family: 5.8S ribosomal RNA (bases 1-120)
Source: RNAcentral
GAUGAAGAACGUAGCGAAAUGCGAUACGUAAUGUGUAAUGCAGAAUUCAGUGAAUCAUCGAGUCUUUGAACGCACAUUGCGCCCCCUGGUAUUCCGGGGGGCAUGCCUGUCCGAGCGUCAUUGCUGCCCUCAAGCACGGCUUGUGUGUUGGGCCUCCGUCCUCCUCCCCGGGGGACGGGCCCGGAAAGGCAGCGGCGGCACCGCGUCCGGUCCUCGAGCGUAUGGGGCUUCGUCACCCGCUCUUGUAGGCCCGGCGGGCGCUUGCCGACACAUCAAUCUUUUUUCCAGGUUGACCUCGGAUCAGGUAGGGAUACCAGCUGAACUUAAGCAUAUCAAUAAGCGGAGGA